CUAAGAUUAAGCUAUGCAUGUGAUUUGAAGAACUGAUUAAU
RNAcentral lists this unclassified non-coding RNA (41 nucleotides) under Acacia victoriae. RNAcentral describes it as "partial small subunit rRNA". The record is from RNAcentral. Lineage: Eukaryota; Viridiplantae; Streptophyta; Magnoliopsida; Fabales; Fabaceae.